GGAUGCACAAAGGGCCUUGUAAUGCAAGGUUAUGCGACUGCGCUCUUAAAGUGUUUGAUUCUAUGUCUAAAUGGGGCUCUUAUCAUUAGCAUUAUUUUUGUUUUCUGUCGGGGGAUAUCGGAUUCUUGACUCUGAAUCUUUGACUGCCAUGCCACGCGACAAACUAUUGGGCAAAUUAUUCGAAGGAGGCUUUAUUAUUAUUAUUUUAUUU
Molecule: unclassified non-coding RNA, 211 nt
Filed under: Hevea brasiliensis (rubber tree)
Lineage: Eukaryota; Viridiplantae; Streptophyta; Magnoliopsida; Malpighiales; Euphorbiaceae
Source: RNAcentral